This 481-nucleotide ribosomal RNA is filed under the name uncultured bacterium. RNAcentral describes it as "partial 16S ribosomal RNA". It matches the Rfam family "Bacterial small subunit ribosomal RNA", at positions 30 to 507 of the family's 1533-position model. The record is from RNAcentral.
UUGAACGCUGGCGGCAUGCUCUACCCAUGCAAGUCGAACGGUAACAGGCCGCAAGGUGCUGACGAGUGGCGAACGGGUGAGUAAUGCAUCGGAACGUGCCCAGUCGUGGGGGAUAACUACUCGAAAGAGUAGCUAAUACCGCAUACGAUCUAUGGAUGAAAGCGGGGGACCGUAAGGCCUCGCGCGAUUGGAGCGGCCGAUGUCAGAUUAGGUAGUUGGUGGGGUAAAGGCUCACCAAGCCAACGAUCUGUAGCUGGUCUGAGAGGACGACCAGCCACACUGGGACUGAGACACGGCCCAGACUCCUACGGGAGGCAGCAGUGGGGAAUUUUGGACAAAGGGCGCAAGCCUGAUCCAGCAAUGCCGCGUGCAGGAAGAAGGCCUUCGGGUUGUAAACUGCUUUUGUACGGAACGAAACGGCUCUGGUUAAUACCCGGGGCUAAUGACGGUACCGUAAGAAUAAGCACCGGCUAACUACGUG